CUACACUGCAAAAAAUGGGAAAGAAACAGAAUGGGAAGAGUAAAAAAGCUGAAGAGGCAGAACCUGAAGAAUUUGUAGUAGAAAAAGUACUGGACCGACUUGUAGUGAAUGGGAAGGUGGAGUAUUUCCUGAAGUGGAAGGGAUUUACAGAUGCAGACAAUACCUGGGAACCUGAAGAAAAUUUAGAUUGUCCAGACUUAAUUGAAGCAUUUCUUAAUUCUCACAAAGCUGGUAAAAGAAAAGAUGGAACAAAAAAUCUUUAUCUGACAGUGAAUCUGACGAUAGCAAAUCAAAGAAAAGAGAUGGUGCUGAUAAACCAAGAGGUUUUGCCAGAGGUCUUGAUCCAGAACAUUAUAUAAUUGGUGCCAGAGACAGCAGUGGAGAAUUGAUGUUUCUCAUGAAAUGGAAGGAUUCAGAUGAGGCAGACUUGGUGCUGGUAAAGGAGGCAAAUAUGAAGUGUCCUCAAAUUGUAAUUGCUUUUUAUGAAGAAAGACUAACUUGGCAUUCUUGUCCAGAAGAUGAAGCUCAAUAAUUGUUUGCAUUGCUUUUUAUAUAUAUUUUUAUAUAUAUAUAAAAUCUGUGUCUUGGUUUUUUGAUUUAUUAGUGUGAAGAAAUAACUACAUUCUAAUGAAAAUCAAGUUUGAUAUGUUCUUUUGAAGUAGUAUUGGGGAAGUUGUUGGGUUUUUGUUUUGUCUUUUUGCAUCUGUAGCACUGGUUACUUUGAACAAAUAAAAGCUUUCUGUAGUUGCUUCCUUUAGCAGAAAAGAACAUUUGAUACCACAGUAUGUUAUUUCCUCUGCAUUAGAGAACAGCUUUUCUAAAUGUUGGGAGAAGUCUCCAUAGUCAUUACUCAAUCAGAAUUUAGAAUUUGCACUUAACUCAUAUAUGCCUAAGGACCAUUCUGGGUUUUUUGAAUGUGUAUACAUAAAAUAUAUAUGUAAAUGGUUUGGGGUUUUUUGUUGUUGUUUAAAUACAUUUACCAAAACAAAAACAGCUUUUCACAGCCAUGAAUAAGCCCAUGUUUCUGGGAUUCCAUCAUUUUGAGCAGUAUAAGAAAUCACUUCAACUUAAAAUGAAAAAUUUAAGUCUUAACAUUUCAAAUUAAAUAAUUUUGUAAUUAAGUAGACAAAUUAAACAAUUUAAAUUGGAUAAUUUUUUAAAGCAGUCCUAUCAGAAUCUGCAUCCAUAUCUACAGUCAUAUAAAUGUACUUUAAUAUGCAAAACCCCUAAAAGGAAAAUUUUAUCACUAUCAACAACCUCCCCCCCCCAAAUGAAAAAACUAGCAAAUAUCUGGUUUAAUUAGCCAAGCAAGACUUAGUUAACCGGACAUUUAAAGGUUCCUUUUGGUGAAUCACUGUUUUACAAGAAGUUGAAAUCCCUGUGCUAUAUUUACUGAAAGGCUGUGAUACAUGUAAUGUCUCAGACUUGUUCAUGGAAACCUAAUCAGAUGGUUAGAGAUGUUGGCAAUAUAGGAUCUGCAGGAAUAAAUGACUAAUCUAAACUUGAUCUGCAUGUUUUUUUCAAACUUUACCCCAACCCAUUUGUUACGUGUACACUCAGUCUUCUCAGUAUUUGGGGUUACUGGUUCAGCAGAAGCCAGGAAAAACAAUAACUUUGCAGUAAUCAGAAUGUUAUUCAACUGUAUAUUGUUUACUUCAUUGUAAAUACUGGUGAACAGUGGUCAAUAAAUAGUUUUAUAUUAAAAAAAAAGUAUAUUUGACAUUUUAUUUAACUUUAAUAAAGUGAAUAACUUCCUGGAAUGAACAGUUUCUUCUCACUGACCAAAAAAUAAAAUCUGGAAUGAAAAGUACUUAUUUAAACUAAACAAACAAGUGAAUACUAUUGACCAAAAGAUGGCCACAUGAAACCACAGCUUCAAUAUCACAGCACAGUUCACCUAUGUACAUUAGGGUUUUUUCCUUACCUGUAUAUUUUGAGAUUAUUUCUUCAAAUGUUAUUUAAGUAAGGAACCUACUUAACAAAACAGCCUGAAAAUUUAAUACCAACAAAAUGUCUACAAAAUAUAAAGUAAUUCUCUGUAAACCUAUUUCAAAGGGCAAUUAUAAUUUAAUUUGUAGAAACCAGAAUUACCUGGAGGGCUUUGAAAAAUAAAACCAUAAUAGGGGCUUCCCUGGUAGUGCAGUGGUUAGGAAUCCGCCUCCCAACGCAGGGGACACGGGUUCAAGGCCUGGUCCGGGAAGAGCCCACAGGCCGUGGAGCAACUAAG
This is an RNA transcript of Hippopotamus amphibius kiboko, 2227 nucleotides long. It is a transcript of the gene named chromobox protein homolog 3-like, with no coding region annotated. The transcript has a single exon. The record is from RefSeq and is a predicted model, not a curated record. NCBI's taxonomy places the organism in Eukaryota, Metazoa, Chordata, Mammalia, Artiodactyla, Hippopotamidae.